CGCAUCUGUGCAUGCAGCAUAUCAUAAGCGGAGGAAAAGAAACUAACAAGGAUUCCCCUAGUAACGGCGAGUGAAGCGGGAAGAGCUCAAAUUUGAAAUCUUAAAGGGUUUCCCUUUACGAAUUGUAGUUUAAAGAAGUGUUUUCUGUUGAGGUUUUGGUAAAAGUUCUUUGGAAUAGGACAUCAUAGAGGGUGAGAAUCCCGUAUUUGACCUUUACUUUCAACUUUGUGAUACACUUUCAAAGAGUCGGAUUGUUUGGGAAUGCAGUCCAAAAUGGGUGGUAAAUUUCAUCUAAAGCUAAAUAUUGGCGAGAGACCGAUAGCGAACAAGUACCGUGAGGGAAAGAUGAAAAGAACUUUGAAAAGAGAGUUAAACAGUACGUGAAAUUGUCAAAAGGGAAGCGUUUGACACCAGUGUUGUUUUUCUGAAAAUCAAUUAAAGAACUGUUUAUGCUAAGUUGUUUAGACUUUAUCAGCUAUCUGUUUAGUUUUGAGCUUUUCCUUUAAUGCACUUUUCAGUUAACAAGUCAACAUCAAUUUCUUUUGCUGUAAAAAAGCUUGAGGAAGGUGGCUUGAGAUUCGUCUUAAGUGUUUAUAGCCUCUUGCCUAUGCAGUCGGAGAGAUUGAGGUCUGCAGCGUAGAUCCUUCGGGGCUAAAUGCAUUUGUGCUAAGUUAUAGCAUUUUAUAGACAACUUGUUGACUAUGAUUUGUCUUGUAGCUUACUCGCUUAUGUUAUUUUACCUACGCUUAGGAUGUUGAGUCGUAGAGCACGCAG
Molecule: ribosomal RNA, 774 nt
Filed under: uncultured Neocallimastigales
Lineage: Eukaryota; Fungi; Neocallimastigomycota; Neocallimastigomycetes; Neocallimastigales
Description: partial large subunit ribosomal RNA
Rfam family: Eukaryotic large subunit ribosomal RNA
Source: RNAcentral